This 56-nucleotide small nuclear RNA is filed under the name Oncorhynchus mykiss (rainbow trout). Its description in RNAcentral is "U7 small nuclear RNA (ENSOMYG00000009025.2)". It matches the Rfam family "U7 small nuclear RNA". Rfam says of the family: Animal histone pre-mRNAs are spliced by a different mechanism than nuclear pre-mRNAs and self-splicing introns. This processing involves the U7 snRNP, which contains only one RNA species: U7. The 5' end of U7 RNA is thought to base-pair to a conserved spacer element downstream of the cleavage site in histone pre-mRNA. Lineage: Eukaryota; Metazoa; Chordata; Actinopteri; Salmoniformes; Salmonidae. The record is from RNAcentral.
AGGUUAUUAGCUCUUUUAGUAUUUCUACAGUAGGUUUCCUCAAAGAGAAAGCCCCC